CACUCCACUGCCAGAUACAGAAAAAACAGAACUCACAGGUGUAAUAGUGAUUGAUAAAGACAAGACAGUUUUCAGUCAAGAUAUCAGAUAUCAGACUCCAUUACUUAUUAGAUCUGGAAUUACAGGACUCGAAGUCACCUAUGCUGCUGAUGAGAAGGCACUUUUUCAUGAAAUUGCAAAUAUAAUAAAGAGGUAUUGUUUUGUAUAUCUGAUUUUUCCAGUUUUAUUCAGAGAGUCGUUUCAUGCUAUUGCAGAUAAUAGUGAAGAUAAAAGUAAAGGUAGGAAGAAAGCGAAUCCCUUCCUAUGACCCUUGAAAGCAGAGUUACUCUUGGGAAGAUUUUAUACUCACUUCCCACCACCAUCACUAUUUUCAUCAGACAAGGGAUAGGAAAAGCAGUGUUCUGUUCUCAAGAUUGAGGGGCCAGUGAAAGACAAAUAUUUGUUUAGCCUCUAACUAACUUCCCAGUUGUACUUGAGGUUGGUUUUUCUGUGGUGCUGAAAUAAUGGAGAACUGUAUAAAGUUCCAUUGUAUUAUUCA
This 538-nucleotide long non-coding RNA is filed under the name Homo sapiens (human). RNAcentral describes it as "non-protein coding lnc-TRAF3IP2-5:1". Lineage: Eukaryota; Metazoa; Chordata; Mammalia; Primates; Hominidae. The record is from RNAcentral.